CCAACGACAACGUAUUCACCGUCAACUAUAACGGAACUAAAGUUACUAUCACCGCCACCGGCUUUGCCUCCGUCGUCGAAGGAUGGAUCAAUUCCACGCUCUUCCGCGGCAGCAACUACCUCUGCCCGCGUCUACUCAUCGCUGGCCUCGCCACCGAUCCUCCGUAAACGCAUUGCGUUUGUCACCAAUGCCUAAUUUUCAUCUCUCUCACGCCGAUCACAUUCCGGUAAGUCUCCGUAACCGUCCUCGGAUUCAAAGUUGAGCAUAGAUAAGAUAUCGGAAUGAGUAAUUGGAACAAAAUCUCAGCGGUGAUCGAAUUGAUUAUGCUUGCGUUGAAGCUUGGAGGAAUCUCAGAAGUGCUUUUGAAAAAACCUUUAAAUUCAAAUGCUUUCAAAUUAAUUUCUGCAUCAAGAAGCUGACAAUGUAGAGCAGAGAAUUUUUACAAGAAAUCUAAAGAAGCAUGUGAAUAUAAUAGAGGUGGAAUCAAUCAAACAUUACUGGAGGGGGAAAUAGAGAUAUAUCUACAGUUAGCUGUCUGAUCAGUAAAAAAUGGCCAACACAACAUUGGAACUCCAGCACAUAUGCUCUCGGUGGUUGAGUUCCAUCCACAAUGAGUUAGGAAUCCACCGAUUGAAGGG
This is a long non-coding RNA of Vicia villosa (hairy vetch), 638 nucleotides long. RefSeq lists it as uncharacterized. The transcript is spliced from 3 exons. The record is from RefSeq and is a predicted model, not a curated record. Lineage: Eukaryota; Viridiplantae; Streptophyta; Magnoliopsida; Fabales; Fabaceae.